RNAcentral lists this long non-coding RNA (1027 nucleotides) under Equus caballus (horse). RNAcentral's name for it is "lncRNA (ENSECAG00000045327.1)". The record is from RNAcentral. Lineage: Eukaryota; Metazoa; Chordata; Mammalia; Perissodactyla; Equidae.
CUGCGCUGCGGGAGGAGGAAAUGACUCUGGGUACACGUUUUUCAUGACUCACUCUGAAAAGAAGAAAAUAAGCAGCACCUCUUAUCUCAGGAUACCAAGGGCAAAAAAAGUAAUAUAGCCAUAAAUGACCACCAGGCAUGGUACUUGGGGUCAGAACAAUGUCUCAGUUGGGGAUCCAGCAGGAAACAGCAUCCUUGAAAGGAAUGACUGAAGGAUUUAACGAAGGGACUCGUUACUGCGGUGUGGACAGGUUAAGGGACUAAGGAGGGAGAGUGAGGCACUCAGGGAUUAGAAACAGCAGGAAGCUUUACUGCUUCUAGGCACGAUGAGAGCAGGGCUAGAAGUGGCGUUGUUGGAACCGGAAGCCCUGUGGUCCUGAAGAGGAGCCACCCACUGGGAGCUGUGGCCGUACACAGACAGGGCUGGAACGAGCCCCGCAGACUGCAGCAGACCGCAGUGGCUGGGCCCCAGGAAGCAGGCAAGGAUCAGCGAGGCCAAGCAAUGGUGUGGGAACAGCCACACGCAGACGUGCAAGACGCGCUGGGCUGCGACAGCGAGCGCUCCAGCAGGAGCUGGAAACCAAGGAGGGAACUGUCUGCACCUGUGCACCCACACCUUCUGAACGGGAAUUGCCAUCAACGCCGUCUCGGUCUGUUUAUAGAGGCCUCCUGCCUCCUUGGCUUGGCGGAGGAUGGAUCUGCUUCAGUUGGAACCUAAUCUUGCUCACCUCACACUUGCAACUCUCUCACUAACACCAGUGAGAAAGAAAAACUGUUUAAAUUAUGCUAAAGCCUGAAUUCAAUCCAUGGUUGUAUUAAGAAGGAAGAUUUUGAAUAUUGCUUACUGUUCCCGCAAAAAAACUUCACUACCUGCUCCCCACUCUUUCUCCAAUAAAGAAGGAUGUCUCCCCCCCUGCCCCGGCAGUUUUUAUUUUUAACAACAAAUUAAAUAGGUCCAGUUCUAGGCAAAAAAGAAUUAUAUUGUUUCUCCUUCUUCCUUCCUUCAACUCUCUGGCCCUGGUUUCUGG